Molecule: ribosomal RNA, 1083 nt
Filed under: uncultured eukaryote
Lineage: Eukaryota
Description: bacterial SSU rRNA
Rfam family: Eukaryotic small subunit ribosomal RNA
Source: RNAcentral
GUGCCAGCAGCCGCGGUAAUUCCAGCUCCAAUAGCAAAUAUUAAGGUUGUUGCGUUAAAAACGCGCGUAGUUGAAUUUGGAGCGCGUCGGUCUGUACAAUGAAUUUUGGCACUGGCCGGCGGGUUCUAUACCUUCUGCCGACCGCGUCUGCCUUUAAACGGGUGGGCGCUGGAGACAGGACUUUUACUUAGAGAAAAUUAGAGUGUUUAAAGCAGGCAAUCGCUUGAAUACAUUAGCAUGGAAUGAUGGAAUAGGACUUUGGUUCUAUUUUGUUGGUUUCUAGGACCGAAGUAAUGAUUAAUAGGGACAGUUGGGGGCAUCAGUAUUUCAGAGUCAGAGGUGAAAUUCUUGGAUUUCUGAAAGACUAACUACUGCGAAAGCAUUUGCCAAGGAUGUUUUCAUUAACCAAGCACGAAAGUCAGGGGAUCAAAAAUGAUUAGAUACCGUUGUAGUCUUGACCAUAAACUAUGCCGACUCGGGAUUGGCGGGACGUACUUAUAUGCGCUCGCCAGCACCGUAUGAGAUAUCAAAGUUUUUGGGUUACGGGGGGAGUACGCUUGCAAGUGUGAAACUUAAAGAAAUUGGCGGAAGAGCGCCACAAGAUGUGGAGCCUGCGGCUUAAUUUGACUCAACACGGGAAAACUUACCAGGUCCAGACUUAAGAAGGAUUGACAGAUUGAGAGCUCUUUCUUGAUUUUAAGGAUGGUGGUGCAUGGCCGUUCUUAGUUGGUGGAGUGAUUUGUCUGCUUAAUUGCGAUAACGAACGAGACCUUUUCCUGCUAAAUAGACUCGGCCUGCUUUGCAGGUCGCAGCCUUCUUAGAGGGACUUUUGACGUUUAGUCAUAGGAAGCUUGAGGCUAUAACAGGUCUGUGAUGCCCUUAGAUGUUCUGGGCCGCACGCGCGUUACACUGAUGAAGUCAGCGAGUUUAUUCCUUGGCCGACAGGUCCGGGUAAUCUUUUGAAACUUCAUCGUGAUGUGGAUAAGGCAUUGCAAUUAUUGCCUUUGAAAGAGGAAUAUCUAGUAAUCGUGAGUCAUCAACUCGCGCUGAUUACGUCCCUGCUCUUUGCACACACCGCCCGUC